This 497-nucleotide ribosomal RNA is filed under the name uncultured bacterium. Its description in RNAcentral is "partial 16S ribosomal RNA". It matches the Rfam family "Bacterial small subunit ribosomal RNA", at positions 28 to 507 of the family's 1533-position model. The record is from RNAcentral.
GACGAACGCUGGCGGCGUGCCUAAUACAUGCAAGUAGAACGCUGAAGAGAGGAGCUUGCUCUUCUUGGAUGAGUUGCGAACGGGUGAGUAACGCGUAGGUAACCUGCCUUGUAGCGGGGGAUAACUAUUGGAAACGAUAGCUAAUACCGCAUAACAAUGGAUGACACAUGUCAUUUAUUUGAAAGGGGCAAUUGCUCCACUACAAGAUGGACCUGCGCUGUAUUAGCUAGUAGGUGAGGUAAUGGCUCACCUAGGCGACGAUACAUAGCCGACCUGAGAGGGUGAUCGGCCACACUGGGACUGAGACACGGCCCAGACUCCUACGGGAGGCAGCAGUAGGGAAUCUUCGGCAAUGGGGGCAACCCUGACCGAGCAACGCCGCGUGAGUGAAGAAGGGUUUCGGAUCGUAAAGCUCUGUUGUAAGUCAAGAACGGGUGUGAGAGUGGAAAGUUCACACUGUGACGGUAGCUUACCAGAAAGGGACGGCUAACUACGUG